Molecule: non-coding RNA, 5205 nt
Organism: Delphinapterus leucas (beluga whale)
Lineage: Eukaryota; Metazoa; Chordata; Mammalia; Artiodactyla; Monodontidae
Source: RefSeq, a predicted model, not a curated record
GCUUUGUAUGGGAGACCCGGUCCUCUUCGAGUGAUAUAAAAGAGCAAAUCUUGAUUGAUAAGAGAUGUGCUUAUCUUACUACAUAAGAAUCUGAGAGAACAAAGAUUUAGAACAUAUAGAGCAAUACAACAGUAUUUGAGGCUUAAUCAUUUCUACUUUGGUAGCUUCUGUUACAUCACAAGCAAAAUGCUAACAGCAGUUCCUUCAAGCACUGUUAAAGAACUUUCAGACCAUUUCUUUUUGCCCAAAUGGGAUAAAAGUCUUAAACCUAGAUGUAACUUCACAGCCUUGGGGAGGAGAAGUUGAAGGCCUGGAAACCAAGGCAAGAUAAGUAGAUGGGUUCCUCAGGCACUUGACUGCAAGGAUACGGGCUUGUGCUACCUGUUGAUGGUUCUUACCGUUGCUCUGAGAAAUGUGGGCUCUUAGGAGGAAGAGCUCUGGACGGAGGGUGAGAGGACUGGCACUGUGAGUCAGGAGCCAAGGCCCCGGGCGUGAGCUCACCAGUGCCUGUGCUUUGGUUAAAUUAGACCCCAAAGUUAUUCACAUUUGACUGCUUUGCUUAGACUUUGUAGCUGAAAAACAGUACUUAGAAGAACAUUUUCACCCCUGCAAUUUUUCCAUCCUCUUCCCUGUCCCUCCCUGUUUUACGUUUUACCAACAAAAUGGAUAAUAAAUGCAUAGUUUUAGCCUCUCAGCGUAAACCCUCCUGCUCAACCCCACCCCCAAUUCCUCACCCCAGUCUGAGUAGGUGUAGCUUGUGUUCAUUUUCCUCUUCUUUUCAGCACUUACUCCCCUUCAGCUGCUCCUAGCAAACCGUCAGAGCUAGCACAUUAAUAGCCACAGGCGCCUGCCAAAGAGAAAUUCUGCAGAGGAUCUAAAACCAAUAACUUGUAACUUUUCCUAAAUCAGGAAAGAUUGGAGUGUAAUAGAUGAAUAAACCGAAUGCAUCCUGAGUGACAUGUGUCUUCUUUCUAGACGGGGAAAUCCUUUACAUUUGUGCAGAGAGCGAUUUAAGAAGAUUCAGAAGCUCUGGCACCAGCACAGUAUCACAGAGGAAAUUGGACAUGCACAGGAAGCAAAUCAGACACUGGUUGGCAUUGACUGGCAACAUUUAUAAUUACUUCACUACCAAAUACAUAAAUUUGGAUUUUUGUAACCCAGUUCGCUUUUCAAGAAAGAGAAUAGGAAAUAGGUUCUACUGAAUUUGGAAAUAAAUUCUUUAUUUAAGCUUUUCUUCCCAGUUUUAUUUUUAUAGUUUCUGGCUCUAGAGACUGAUGAAAAUCAUCUUCUGUCAGCAGAUUUUCUUGCAUCAUUUGCUGUGUACUUCAAACGUAACUUCUUGAAUUUUAGAAUCCAGGAAGGAGCUUCUCUUCCUGGGCUGGACUCAGCCCCUUUGUGGGCAUCUGACUGCAUUUGACUGUUCCCAGUAGUCUGAGCCGUGUCACAUUACUGAACACAGGGAACUCCAGGCCUGAAGCUGAUGCAACAGCAGCAGGAAACAAAGUCUCUGGUCUUUUGGGGUCACACUUCCUGAUCCCUCUCAGUGACUCUCAACGUUGGGCCUGGGUCAGUGUCCCCACAGCUGAUGGGACCCUACCUCUAAGCAAAACAGUGGAUUUCAAAAGUGGCAUUCCCUUGUCUCUACCGGCUGUGAGGGGGUUGGGGGACUCUCAUGCUGGAGGAACCUGUGGGAAGAAGGAGAGAAGGUGGUGUCUUUGUGUGCUGGGUGAUUUUCAGGGCUAUACAAGGUGGGAUUCCCCCGCCCCCCCCCUUUUUUUUUGCAAGACUUUUGGCUUUGAGGAAUAAACUCAUGUUAAAGGGCUUAUUGAAAACUUAAGAGUAUCUUAAUUUUUCAGAUGAUAUAGUCUCUUAUUUCUAAGACUAAGUUGAAAGAGUGUAUACAUCUAGAAUCAAACACUAGCAAAAAAAUGAGAAUUCAGUGUUUUAAAAUUCCCUCACCCCCACCCCUUCCAGCAUUUCCUGGAAUAGAUGAAUUGCUGUUUACCUGCUGGCUCACUUAGUACAUUUCUGGGACACCUGUGCGCCCAGGCUUUUCAUUAUUUUUAAACAUUAUUGUUCUUACUAAGAGGUGCCUUCCUAGAAUGAUAGCCGCUUAGUAAAAUAGUUUAUAACCAUGACAUGCCAUGUACCACUCUUGUGUGAUACACAUGUGCUGAGAGCUUGGGUACAUGGAGAGUGAUGGCAGAUUUGGUGGAAGAAUAAAUACAGAGCCUCUCUGAGGUGAGGCUAAGGGAUAAAUGAAUAAUUAGAGGCUCUUGGAUUUUUUUUAGCCAAUGAAAAUAACCCUUUCACUCAGUUUUCUUUGAACUCUGCAUCUAAAAGUUCCAUCCUGCUCAGCUUUGCACACUCCACGGUACACCCAGGAGGAAGGUUGGAGAUCCAGACUUUCAGCUAAAGUAAGUGGAGAUGUAGAAGCCACACUCAGUGCUUCUCCAGGGUGGUGUGUGAAGAACCCCUUCCUCUGAAAGGAUGACCUUGACCCUUCUUGCCUGGGACUGAGUCACCCAUCUGAGAGGAGGCCCUUCUCACCCAGGAGGAAGAAAAUCUGCUUUAGAACACAGUGCUCACCCCCCUUUUCUGGCCUUCCUUCCAUUCAUAAGAUCUGGUGGUAUGGGCUGUGGAUCGCAUCGUGAUUUUAUUUUAUUUUGGCCUUUGUCACAUCCUCAUUCCUUUAGCUUUUAAGUUUAGCUUCUUUUGGCUUUUCUCCAGUUGUUAACCAAGCUUAAAUUUAGAAUGAUAAGACCAGGUUUCUCCCUGUGUAGUUGAAUUUAUAAACAUGUUCACCAAAUCGUAACAAUACUUCAGCUUUCAGAGCUGAUUUCAUGUAAGCCUGUUGUUAGCAGAGGGUGUCCCUGGGUUCCAUUCUCUGAGAAUGUCAGGGAGUCUGAGAGAAGAUGAAUUUACAUGAGAUAGCAGCAACACAUGUGCCCCUUUAUCUUCUGGUGUGUGUAUCAUUAAUCUAAUUGUCUUCCCUAACUAACGAAUCAUCUUAGUUUUAUGAUUUGUUCCGCAUGUAUUAUGUUUAUAUUAGAAAUGUUUAUAUAACAUGCUUUCCAUAUCAGGGAAAAUCAUAUCUGUUUAAAAAAUUGGCUAUAACUUUAUUAUCUGUGGACAACUUGUAAAAUUUGGAAUGUAGCAUAUGUAAAAAGUUUAAAGAUAUCCAAAUAAAUGCUUUAGGUGUUGACAUUACUUUGCAUCUGCCUACAUUUUCUUCCUGUUUUGUUUCACACAGUUAAAUGCAGUGGAGGUGUUCCACAUGUCACCUUGCUAUAGAUAAAGUGGGACACCUGUAUUAGCUUGAAAUUUAAGAUGCUUAUAUUAUUAGUGUCAGUUAUGGCUGUUGGCCAAACGAUCUUGACCUUCUGAAGGAAGCUUGAUCAUCAUUUCAGCUGAUUAAGUUUCGUAUUCACUGACUGUGACAGCUUGUGACCUUUCUGAACCACUGUGGACCUCAAAUCACUGGGAAAACAGGGCACUCGAAGUCUCUCCCAGCUCCAAGUCAUUUCCUCCAAGAAGGGUUAAACUCUUGCUUAUCCUUACGUAGUGAUCUCCAGGCCCCUGUUCUAACACACUCCCCAGACACCUCCUGCUUAGGAAAGACACAUGUACGAAGGAAGCUACAUCCUAUAUUUGCAAGGGAGUCAUUGCCUAUGAAAGUUCUGCUGUGCUCUUGAAAAUCCUCUUAAAAGGAAAGCAUCAAACUAAAAACACUAGGUUUCUCUGUCUCCUGGUCAUUAAUGCUGCUCCUAGCUAGCUUACUACCUCCCCUGGUCCUAAUGUCAUCAGCUCCAGGACACAUUAAUUCCCUCUGACAUGCUCCUUCCUUGCUUUCUCCCUGCUUCUGUUUUUUGAGUCAGGUUUAUUGAUGUUUAUUUUCCAAAUAGUAAAAUUCACCCUUUCUAGUGGAUGGUUUUAUGCAUUUUGACAAAUGCAUACAGUUGUUUUAACAAGCCACACUCAAGAAUAGAAUAAUCCCAUCACCCAGGAAGUUCUUUCAUGCCCUUUUGUGGGCACCUUCUCCCCGCAUCCUGACCCUUGACAACCACUAAUUUUUUUCUGUCCCUUUGUCUUGCCUCUUCCAGAAUGUUAUAUAAAUAUGUCAUAUAUGUAGAGUUUUGAGUCCGGCUUCUCUCUAAGAAGACAUGCAUUUGAGAGCCGUCCCCGUUCCUUUUGGUUGCUGAAUCGGUUGCUGAAUCGUGUUCAUUGUGCAGAUGUAUACCCACUCACCAGAUUUUCAGAUGAAGUACUGCCUGCUCCAUGGGCAUGCUGUGAUGCUUCAGUGUGUGUAGAGCAUGGUACCUGGUGCACAGCAAGGAUGAAUAGGAAUAUCAGCUGUAGUUGGUUAUUAGUGAGCAUGACUCUGCCUCAAGGAGCUGGUGACUAAUAAAUCAUCAUGAAUAUGCUUGUGUUUGCCUUAAUGUGAAAAGAAGGCCUUCCUCCCCAUCUCACCCCCUCAACAGGCAGUACAGUUCUUCUGAUGUGAUGUGGUAAGUUAGAAGUGGUGCGUCUCAGCUGAGAGCCCAGCUAUGUGUGAAUUUCCAUAGCACUAAAGAUUGACUUAUUUAAGGGAACCUUUCAGUGAAUCUUCUCUGAUGGGCAAAGUUUCCCCACCUAAUGUUUCUGGUUUUGUACAUUUAGGUUUUGGAGUUUGGGUUUCUGCUGUCAGCUCAAAGCAUGAACCCAUGAGUCACUCUCUGUGCCACCUUGGUUUACCCCUCGCUGACAGUGGGCUCUCGUUCAGCACCCAGGACAGCGCCCAGCACUCGUAGGUUUUUGAGAACUAUUUCUUCAGUAAAUGAAUGAAUGAGGGCUUGCUAUAUCCCAAGACCUGCAGCUACAGAGAGGAAUUAAACCUAAUAGAUGAGAUAAGAUGAACCUACAAAUAAUUAGAAUACCAGGUAAAUUGCUACCAGAAUCUCAAGAGAAGCACAAAUCAUUGACUGAACACUUUGAUGUGCCUGUAUCUCCUGUUGCCUCCCAAUAGUUCCAAAGCUAAAUGCUGGCAGCCCCCUAUAACAGAGAUGUUAAAUAACUUUCCGAGUCCUUAGACUCAAAAAGUGGAGACACAGGAUAAACCUCUGAAACAUGCAAAGUGAAAGAAGCCAGACCUAAAAGGUCACAUAUUAUAUGAUUCCUUUUAUCUGAAAUGUCCAGAAUAGAUAAAUCCACAAGGACAGAACACAG